UUAUGUCAUUAUAACUUAGGUUGUUAAUAUCAGUGCAUUAUGAUUCCUCCAUGAAAUAAGUUUUGUCUGCUGACAUAAAGAUAUACCCGAAAUUACAUUUUGUCAUCUUUGAAUAUCUCAAAGUUAGAGUAAUAAAUCGGUUUUAAUUCUCACUUCUUCUUUAAAUUGUAGCCUCUCGUUACUUUUAAAGAUAUUGUAAUACUCCAUUAGAUGCUUCACAUUAAUCUAGACAUAUCUAGUGUGUUGCAAUGUGAGUAAUAUCUAAACGAGUAUAGACUUAAACUUACAUAAGGCUUCCAAUUAAUGAAGCGUAAAUAAAUAAUCUCAUUUAUCCUAUUAUCCUCUAAAGGAAAGCAAUAUUGUCUGUUACAUACGUAAGGACCCAUUUAAUGUUAAACUAAUGGAACAGAACUAAUAUCCCAUUGGGUCUAUCUCAGUAUGUUAUGAUAUCAAUCACGUAAGAGAUAUCUCUGAGAUUUAUUAUAUCAAAGUUUAUGUUAACAAUGCUUUGACUUAUGUAACAUAUACUUGUCAAAAGAAUAUCAUCUAUAUUAACAAGUUUAUCUUAGUUGCUCCCACUCAUUUUGAGGUAGGUACAUUAAUCCACUUGAUUCUUGAUGAAAAUAAUUACGUUAGCUUUUCAUCACAUUAUGAUGUUUGCAUUAACCCAUACAUGGAUAUUAUUGGCUUACAAAUAAAGUGUUCUUUAACCUUCAGUUUGAAACUUUAGGUUGUUAUCUAAUGAACAUGUAAAUGUCUUUAAACUAUUAUAAGCUACUAGAACAGUGAUGAUCCUCAAAGAAAUCUUUUGUAAGAUAGGUAAGAAAGACUCUUUGAUAAUUCAUCUCUUUUU
Molecule: long non-coding RNA, 853 nt
Filed under: Helianthus annuus (common sunflower)
Lineage: Eukaryota; Viridiplantae; Streptophyta; Magnoliopsida; Asterales; Asteraceae
Description: hypothetical non coding rna
Source: RNAcentral